AAGGAACAUUCACCCCACUGCAAUGAUGUUUACCAGCACUAUUAACUUACUGCAGACUCUUUGUCUGUCUGCUGGAGUUCAUGCUGAGAUCAUGCAGAGUGAAGCCACCAAGACUUUAUGCGGACUGCUGCAAAUGUUAGUGGAAAGCGGAAUGACGGACAAGACAUCUUCUCCAAACAGGCUGGUGUACAGGGAGCAACACCGGAGCUGGUGCACGCUGGGGUUUGUGCAGAGCAUCGCUCUCACGCUGCAGGUGUGCGGCGCCCUCAGCUCCCUGCAGUGGAUCACGCUGCUCAUGAAGGUCGUGGAAGGGCACGCACCCUUCACUGCCACCUCGCUGCAGAGGCAGAUCUUAGCUGUGCAUUUGUUGCAAGCAGUCCUUCCGUCAUGGGACAAGACCGAAAGGGCGAGGGACAUGAAAUGCCUCGUGGAGAAGCUGUUUGACUUCUUGGGGAGCUUGCUCACUAUGUGCUCCUCUGACGUGCCGUUACUCAGAGGUGAGUGGCCGUCUCCUUUCCCUGUGCCCUGGUGAAGAGCGGUGCAGCAGCUUCUCCCCUGGUUUCCUCCUCAGAGUCCAUGCUGAGGUGGCGCAGGGUGUGCCCGCAGGCCUCGCUGACUGCCACCCACAGCAGCACACUGGUGGAGGAGGUGGUGGCACUGCUGCACACGCUGCACUCCCUGACUCAGUGGAAUGGGCUCAUCAACAAGUACAUCAACUCCCAGCUCCGCUCCAUCACCCACAGCUUUGCGGGAAGGCCUUCCGAAGGGGCCCAGUUAGAGGACUACUUCCCCGACUCCGAGAACCCUGAAGUGGGGGGCCUCAUGGCGGUCCUGGCUGUGGUUGGAGGCAUCGAUGGUCGCCUGCGCCUGGGUGGCCAAGUUGUGCACGAUGACUUUGGAGAAGUCACCAUGACUCGCAUCACCCUGAAGGGCAAAAUCACCGUGCAGUUCUCUGACAUGCGGACGUGUCGCGUUUGCCCAUUGAAUCAGCUGAAACCACUCCCUGCCGUGGCCUUUAAUGUGAACAACCUGCCCUUCACAGAGCCCAUGCUGUCUGUCUGGGCUCAGUUGGUGAACCUCGCUGGAAGCAAGUUAGAAAAGCACAAAAUAAAGAAAUCGACUAAACAGGCCUUUGCAGGACAAGUGGACCUGGACCUGCUGCGGUGCCAGCAGUUGAAGCUAUACAUCCUGAAAGCAGGUCGGGCGCUGUUCUCCCACCAGGAUAAACUGCGGCAGAUCCUGUCUCAGCCAGCUGUUCAGGAGACUGGAAGUGUUCACACAGAUGAUGGAGCAGUGGUAUCACCUGACCUUGGGGACAUGUCUCCUGAAGGGCCGCAGCCCCCCAUGAUCCUCUUGCAGCAGCUGCUGGCCUCGGCCACCCAGCCGUCUCCUGUGAAGGCCAUAUUUGAUAAACAGGAACUUGAGGCUGCUGCACUGGCCGUUUGCCAGUGCUUGGCUGUGGAGUCCACUCACCCUUCGAGCCCAGGAUUUGAAGACUGCAGCUCCAGUGAGGCCACCACGCCUGUCGCCGUGCAGCACAUCCGCCCUGCCAGAGUGAAGAGGCGCAAGCAGUCGCCCGUUCCCGCUCUGCCGAUCGUGGUGCAGCUCAUGGAGAUGGGAUUUUCCAGAAGGAACAUCGAGUUUGCCCUGAAGUCUCUCACUGGUGCUUCCGGGAAUGCGUCCGGCUUGCCUGGUGUGGAAGCCUUGGUCGGGUGGCUGCUGGACCACUCCGACAUACAGGUCACGGAGCUCUCAGAUGCAGACACGGUGUCCGACGAGUAUUCUGACGAGGAGGUGGUGGAGGACGUGGAUGAUGCCGCCUACUCCAUGUCUACUGGUGCUGUUGUGACGGAGAGCCAGACGUACAAAAACCGAGCUGGUUUCUUGGGUAAUGAUGAUUAUGCUGUAUAUGUGAGAGAGAAUAUUCAGGUGGGAAUGAUGGUUAGAUGCUGCCGAACAUACGAAGAAGUGUGCGAAGGUGAUGUGAUGUUGGCAAAGUCAUCAAGCUGGACAGAGAUGGAUUGCAUGAUCUCAAUGUGCAGUGUGACUGGCAGCAGAAAGGGGGCAUCUACUGGUUUAGGUACAUUCAUGUGGAACUUAUAGGCUAUCCUCCACCAAGAAGUUCUUCUCACAUCAAGAUUGGUGAUAAAGUGCGGGUCAAAGCCUCUGUCACCACACCAAAAUACAAAUGGGGAUCUGUGACUCAUCAGAGUGUGGGGGUUGUGAAAGGUGUGAUGGAUGUCAGAUGUUUCCUAUC
Molecule: long non-coding RNA, 2257 nt
Organism: Homo sapiens (human)
Lineage: Eukaryota; Metazoa; Chordata; Mammalia; Primates; Hominidae
Gene: HERC2P9
Product: HERC2 pseudogene 9
Source: Ensembl